RNAcentral lists this long non-coding RNA (466 nucleotides) under Olea europaea (common olive). Its description in RNAcentral is "long non-coding RNA (OEUR_LNC006875)". The record is from RNAcentral. Lineage: Eukaryota; Viridiplantae; Streptophyta; Magnoliopsida; Lamiales; Oleaceae.
CCAAGUUUAAAACUAAUUUUACUCUCCAAUCUAGUGAAACUAGUAACCAUAAUUACACCCAUUUAAUAUACAUUUUGUUCCAUAAAAUCAACUCCCAAGUGAAAUAUUCUAUUUAUAUAAUCAUUUUCACAAUUAAUUAAUCAAAAUCCCAAAAUCGGAUUCUAGGGUUUCCCCAAAAAAAAUUGAAAUCUCGUUACCUUAAUGUAGAUAGAAAUUUAAGAAUCAAUAAUUUGAGAUCCAAGUAGUAUUCAUCUCAACAAAUUUGAAAAUUUCUAGCCAAAAUAAAACCCUAGAAUUUUAACAUAAAAUUUAUCUACCUCUUGAAGAAAAUAAAGAGAAAGGAAAAAUGAAAAUAGACCUUGAACUACCUCUUUCCUUUCUUCUUCUUCUUCCUCUUCCUUUUUCCUUUUUCUCCUUCUUUUUCUUCCCUUUCUUUCCCUUUUUCUUUCCUUUUCUCUUUUCUACC